Suricata suricatta (meerkat) is the source of this 242-nucleotide long non-coding RNA. RefSeq lists it as uncharacterized. NCBI's taxonomy places the organism in Eukaryota, Metazoa, Chordata, Mammalia, Carnivora, Herpestidae. The record is from RefSeq and is a predicted model, not a curated record. The transcript has 3 exons.
CUGCAGAAGCCCCCUCCCUGUUCCUGAACAACUCAGAAGGAUAAUGGCUCUUUUUCCUUCAGGCAACAACUUAAGGACAGCAAUAAUGAAACUGUAAUUUGAAAGUGGGCAGAACUCACACCAAUAUGAUCAUUGUGGUUACCUCUGGUGAGAGCUUAUAAGGCACAGUGAGAGGCUGGGGAUCUGGAUAACAGGCCGGUUUUACAAAGCAAAACAAAGAAAGAAACAACAACAACAAAACG